CGACCGGCCACACUGGGACUGAGACACGGCCCAGACUCCUACGGGAGGCAGCAGUGGGGAAUAUUGCGCAAUGGGCGGAAGCCUGACGCAGCGACGCCGCGUGCGGGAUGAAGGCCUUCGGGUUGUAAACCGCUUUCACCAGGGACGAAGCUAACGUGACGGUACCUGGGGAAGAAGCGCCGGCUAACUACGUGCCAGCAGCCGCGGUAAUACGUAGGGCGCGAGCGUUGUCCGGAAUUAUUGGGCGUAAAGAGCUCGUAGGCGGCUGGUUGCGUCUGCUGUGAAAUCCGGGGCUUAACCCCGGGCGUGCAGUGGAUACGGGCCGGCUGGAGGCAGGCAGGGGAGAAUGGAAUUCCCGAUGUAGCGGUGAAAUGCGCAGAUAUCGGGAGGAACACCGGUGGCGAAGGCGGUUCUCUGGGCCUGUACUGACGCUGAGGAGCGAAAGCGUGGGGGGCAAACAGGAUUAGAUACCCUGGUAGUCCACGCCGUAAACGUUGGGCGCUAGGUGUGGGUCCCUCCACGGGUCUNGUGCCGCAGCUAACGCAUUAAGCGCCCCGCCUGGGGAGUACGGCCGCAAGGCUAAAACUC
Molecule: ribosomal RNA, 588 nt
Filed under: uncultured actinomycete
Lineage: Bacteria; Bacillati; Actinomycetota; Actinomycetes; Actinomycetales
Description: bacterial SSU rRNA
Rfam family: Bacterial small subunit ribosomal RNA
Source: RNAcentral